UGGGGAAUAUUGCACAAUGGGGGAAACCCUGAUGCAGCGACGCCGCGUGAACGAAGAAGGUAUUCGUAUCGUAAAGUUCUGUCCUAUGGGAAGAUAAUGACAGUACCAUAGAAGAAAGCUCCGGCUAAAUACGUGCCAGCAGCCGCGGUAAUACGUAUGGGGCGAGCGUUGUCCGGAAUUAUUGGGCGUAAAGGGUACGUAGGCGGUUUUUUAAGUCAGGUGUCAAAGCGUGGAGCUUAACUCCAUUAAGCACUUGAAACUGAAAGACUUGAGUGAAGGAGAGGAAAGUGGAAUUCCUAGUGUAGCGGUGAAAUGCGUAGAUAUUAGGAGGAAUACCGGUGGCGAAGGCGACUUUCUGGACUUUUACUGACGCUCAGGUACGAAAGCGUGGGGAGCAAACAGG
This 403-nucleotide ribosomal RNA is filed under the name Verrucomicrobiota bacterium. RNAcentral's name for it is "Verrucomicrobia bacterium partial 16S ribosomal RNA". It matches the Rfam family "Bacterial small subunit ribosomal RNA", at positions 355 to 776 of the family's 1533-position model. The record is from RNAcentral. Lineage: Bacteria; Pseudomonadati; Verrucomicrobiota.